RNAcentral lists this long non-coding RNA (310 nucleotides) under Elaeis guineensis (African oil palm). RNAcentral describes it as "long non-coding RNA (EGUI_LNC060620)". Lineage: Eukaryota; Viridiplantae; Streptophyta; Magnoliopsida; Arecales; Arecaceae. The record is from RNAcentral.
UUCUUAAAAUUAGAUCUCUGUAUUGCAUCUAUAUGGAAGAUCAUCCAUCCCAAACUUAGAAAUCAAAGUAUCUAUUCAAUUGAUACGGUACUCUACCAUAUCUACUUAAAGAUGCCUUUAUGUCGGGCUCCGAAUUUGAUCUGUUGGGUAUAAAAUAUCCCCCCAACCGAAGUUCGUACCAGGAGUGACCCUCCCGGGACUCUGCCGACGUCCAACCUUGGGCGACAUAUUUUCGAACCUCUCCGACGGUCGAGCUUCCGCAACAUUCUCAAGUUCUGCUGACGGACAAACUCCCACAGCUUCUUCCACA